RNAcentral lists this long non-coding RNA (1262 nucleotides) under Diabrotica virgifera virgifera (western corn rootworm). RNAcentral describes it as "uncharacterized LOC114328283". The record is from RNAcentral. Lineage: Eukaryota; Metazoa; Arthropoda; Insecta; Coleoptera; Chrysomelidae.
GCUAUAUUACGGCGUUCGAAAAAAUAACUGUGAAAAUCGCUUUCAAAAAUCAACCUAAAUUUUAACUGUCAUUUUUGUUAAAGUCAACAUUAAUUUUUACAAUAUCUUAUUUUUAUUUCAAAUUUACAAAGUCGAAGAAUCGAAAACUACUUGUUAACUUACUAUUAUAUUAAUAGAAAACAAAGCUUCUGUUGAUAUUACAUAUUUAGAAAACUAAGUUUGUGAUACCUAUUUCCAAAGUUUCCAUGUAUCAUGUAUCCAAAUCUUCAGGUGAUAUCACAUCAUCACUGGAAAGCAGUCUCCAACUAGAUUUCUUCUGUGCAAAGCAAAGUCUCUGCUAACAUCUCAUUGAAAAGCUCUAAGACCAUUUCUGAUAUGGACAACAAAAUAUAUUGUCCUUAAAAGACCCAAGUUGAGCAGAUAUUUUGGCUUUUGGAGAAAAGAUGAAAGAAAUAGAAAAGAAGAAACAAUGAAAGUAGACAGUAGGAAUUAACCCACUUCAGCAGAGAUAAAAGACGAGUAUGCCGAAGGUAAUUUCGAGCCACGACCAACAUCUGAAUGGAGUGUUCAUGUUAAAGUUCCAACUUCAAGAGAAAAUCUUCAUCGAAUAAUUAUGUGAAACUGUUCAAAUCAGCUGAAAGAGUGAACGGAUGAUCCAAAAACAAAACCUGACUAUGGCUCUUUGAGAUGUUUUUGAUGUGCUUCGGACCAAAGCCACAGAGCCAAACAGAGACAGAUGCUUUUGAUCAGCUUAAGAAGAGACCAAACAUAUGAUAUGGUCACAAACAUUUGGUGCAAUGUGAAUGAAAUUGUUAAAAUGCUUUUUUACUACUCAUCUCUUCUUAUGAGCAUCAGACAAGCAGUGUAAAGUAUCUAGGGCUUAUUUACUAGCAUGGUAAAAGUUUUUGUUAGACAUGAAGCAUCUUGUAGGGGACUAUUCCCAAGGCAUUACAUUUGAAAUGUUAUAGAAGCAAACAUGAGAUUCCUUCUGAUUGCGAAACAUUUACGAAGAUCUUUUUACCAUGGUUUGUGACGUAGUACAAUGUAAUUCUUCUCUAGGAAGAUUGUAAUAACCAAUCAUAAGAGUUGUAUCUGUUUUGUGUUAAUAUUUAUCCAGUUAACUUAUUAAAUAUAAAAUAUUUUCUUUUUUAAAGAUAUUAAAUGUAAACAGUCUUAUCUUUCAGCUAAGCCAAUAGAUUACAGAACUGUAUUCCUUUCAGUUUGAGAUACUAACAAUAGAUAAAAUAAUAAUUUUAACUCUA